UAUUCUCACUCGCCAGCUGUCAUCAAAUGUAGUCAAGCUAGCCAUAAAUUCUGACAGCUCAAUCGUCAUUAAACUCAAAUACAGCGAUACGUUUCUUUCUCUUGGUUUCAUACCAACUUUGAGAAAUAACGAGGAGCGCACACAAUGUAUUUUGUCCAGGGAAGUGCUUAGUAAUGAGACACUCACAUUAAAAUAACACAUCCUGACCAAACAUCCACAGCAUGAUGGUAAACCCAGGGAGGUCUUUCAGAGCAGGGCUGAAUGCUUCAGGAAACAUCGCUUCGACAGUGGAAAAGCCGGUGGUGGCUGGCCCGCUCCAGGAGUCUGAGGUGCGGGAGGUUCCUCCACCCCCUCUGGACAUCGUGGGGGACCCGGCGUACUCCGUUCGAUCCAUACUGGAUUCGAGACGUCGGGCCUUCAGUACCUCAUGGACUGGGAGGGGUAUAGUCCGGAGUUGAUAGAAUGAUUUAUUUCAGCUUUUAUUUCUUUCAUCACAUUCUCAGUAGGGAAGAAGUUUACAUACACUCAAUUAGUAUUUGGUAGCAUUGCCUUUUAAUUUUUUUUACUUGGGUCAAACGUUUCGAGUAGCCUUCCACGAACUUCCCACAAUAAGUUGGGUGAAUUGUCCCAUUCCUCCUGACAGAGCUGGUGUAACUGAGUCAGGUUUGUAGGCCUCCUUGCUCGCACACGCUUUUUCAGUUCUGGCCACACAUUUUCUAUGGGAUUGAGGUCAGGGCUUUGUGAUGACCACUCCAAUACCUUGACUUUGUUGUCCUUAAACCAUUUUGCCACAACUUUGGAAGUAUGCUUGGGGUCAUUGUCCAUUUGGAAGACCAAUUUGCGACCAAGCUGUAACUGAUGUCUUGAGAUGUUGCUUCAAUAUAUCCACAUAUAGUUCCUGCCUCAUGAUGCCAUCUAUUUUGUGAAAGGCACCAGUCCCUCCUGCAGCAAAUGAUGAUGAAAACAUGAUGCUGCCACCCCCGUGCUUCACGGUUGGGAUGGUAUUCUUCGGCUUGCAAGCCUCCCCCUUCUUCCCUAAACAUAACAAUGGUCAUUAUGGCCAAACAGUCCUAUUUUUGUUUCAUCAGACCAGAGGACAUUUCUCCAAAAAGUCUCCAAAAAGUACGAUCUUUGUCCCCAUGCGCAGUUGCAAACCAUAGUCUGGCUUUUUAUGGCGGUUUUGGAGCAGUGGCUUCUUCCUUGCUGAGCGACCUUUCAGGUUAUGUUGAUAUAGGACUCGUUUUACUGUAGAUAUAGAUACUUUUGUACCUGUUUCCUCCAGCAUCUUCACAACGUCCUUUGCUGUUGUUCUGGGAUUGAUUUGCACUUUUUGCACCAAAGUGUGUUCAUCUCUAGGAGAAAGGUGUCUUCUUCCUGAGCGGUGUGAUGGCUGCAUGGUCCCAUGGUGUUUAUACUUGUGGACUAUUAUUUGUUUAGAUGAAGGUGGUACCUUCAGGUGUUUGGAAAUUGCUCCCAGGGAUGAACCAGACUUGUGGAGGUCUACCAAAAAAAUUCUGAGGUCUUGGCUGAUUUCUUUUGAUUUUCCCAUGGUGUCAAGCAACGAGGCACUGAGUUUGAAUUGAGGCCUUAAAAUACAUCUACACCUCCAAUUGACUCAAAUGAUGUCAAUUAGCCUAUCAGAAGCUUCUAAAGCCAUGACAUCAUUUUCUGGAAUUUUCCAAGCUGUCAAUUUUCCAAGGCACAGUCAACUUAGUGUAUGUAGACUUCUGACCCACUGUAAUUGUGAUACAGUGAAAUAAUCUGUCUAACAUUUGUUGUGAAAAGUACUUGUGCCAUACACAAAGUAAUGUCCUAACCGACUUGCCAAAACUAUAAUUUGAAGUUUGUGAAGUGGUUGAAAAUCGACUUUUAAUGACUCCAACCUAAGUGUAUGUAAACUUCUGACUUCAACUGUAGCUGUGCAGCGACGCUCCCCAUCCAUCCUGACAGAGCUUGAGAGGAUCUGCAGAGAAGAAUGGGAGAAACUCCCAAAUACAGGUGUGCCAAGCUUGUAGCAUGAUACCCAAAAAUACUUGAGGCUGUAAUCGCUGCCAAAGGUGCUUCAACAAAGUACUGAGUAAAGGGUCUGAAUGCUUAUGUAAUUUUUAAAAACAUUUGCUAACAUUUCUAAAAAACUUUUUUUUGCUUUGUCGUUAUGGGGUAUUGUGUGUAGAAUGAUGAGGGGGGAAAAAAACAAUUUAAUCCAUUUUAGAAUAAGGUUGUAAUUUAACAAAUGUGGAAAAAGUCAAGGGCUCUGAAUUUUUUCAGAAUGCGGUGUAAGAAUGUUUUUAAAUGGGGAAAAAAUAAACAUGAAUAGCUAUUUAUAUUAUUAUAUUUAAUUGUUAUUUGUCUAUAUUGCAUGUGUUUUAUGCAUAAGGGCAGUGAAAAGUACCAAUAUUUAUGUAUAGUUGCAUGUUUUCAUAAGCGUAAAUUGGGUCCCAGGCUGAAAAGGUUUAAGAACCCCUGAUUUAGAGAUGACAUAACAACCAUUCAAUGGUGUUGUUCAUGCCUCCGCGAUACAGCUAUUUUUAUAAAAAAUAUUUUUUUAAAUAGAAGAAACAUUUUGAUGUUGCUACGGCAACCAAUUAUUUCACAGAGACGAUUUCAGAGUACUCUCGUCUGUGUGCCAAAGUGCAGAAUAAAUUAUGAAUUUACAAAUGCUCAACACCUGUUGAAUAUAGCCGGUGUCAGUAAACGUUGGCAAAAAAAAGCGUAAUUAAAUUGUUGCCAGCACGGUUACAGUCACCAACGCUCUAGAUAACAUGAAAACUGCCUAACCAGCUUUUCUACGAUGAGUAACAUGAUCAGAGUGAGGUGUUCUCCCAUUUGUGUCUGGAAGUAGCUCGCAAACUAGCCAAAUGGACAAUCUGACAACGCUCUGAAUUUACAAACGUCCAGAGCGCACUCUGAGCUGAGCGCACUCCAUAUUGAAUUUACCAACACACCACUUCUCUGAACAAAUGUGUGGAAUGUUGCUCCAGGUAUCUAGAAACUAGCCUGGGUACCAGUCUGUUUGUGCUAACAUUCCACUCGUUGUACUCUUUAUCCUAUGCCAAACAUGACUAGCUAGAAACCGAGGAUGGAGACACUUUGUUCUGCUCCUAGUCAUCUCAUCUGUCCAAAUAUAGUUAGAAUGCCCCCCUCUGUUCAAAUAUAGAUCUAUUCUCCCCCUCCGUUUAACUAUAGUUAGAAUGCCCCCCUCUGUUCAAAUAUAGGUCUAUUCUCCCCCUCUGUUUAAAUAUAGUUAGAAUGCCCCCCUCUGUUCAAAUAUAGGUCUAUUCUCCCCCUCUGUUUAAAUAUAGUUAGAAUGCCCCCCUCUGUUCAAAUAUAGGUCUAUUCUCCCCCUCCGUUUAAAUAUAGUUAGAAUGCCCCCCUCUGUUCAAAUAUAGGUCUAAUGUCCUAGCCUGGGUACUAGUCUCUUUAGUUAAUCCACUCUGUGCCAAAGUGAAUGGCUUUUACUGCCAUCUUGAAAUAUGAGCAUUUUAUUAUUAAUGAGCUCGAGGAGAACAUAGGAGUUGAUCCUGAUUUGAUCACCCUCAAAGCUAUCCUCCAAUAACAAUGAUUUUAUGCAAAUUUUGGAACUCUAUCCUUUUUUAUCUCCCCAGAACACC
Long non-coding RNA from Oncorhynchus tshawytscha (Chinook salmon), 3611 nucleotides. NCBI's taxonomy places the organism in Eukaryota, Metazoa, Chordata, Actinopteri, Salmoniformes, Salmonidae. The record is from Ensembl.